CGGUUCUCCUUCGGGAGCAGAGUGACAGGUGGUGCAUGGUUGUCGUCAGCUCGUGUCGUGAGAUGUUGGGUUAAGUCCCGCAACGAGCGCAACCCUUGAUCUAGUUGCCAUCAUUAAGUUGGGCACUCUAAGGUGACUGCCGGUGACAAACCGGAGGAAGUGGGGAUGACGUCAAAUCAUCAUGCCCCUUAUGACCUGGGCUACACACGUGCUACAAUGGACGGUACAAAGAGCUGCAAGACCGCGAGGUGGAGCUAAUCUCAUAAAACCGUUCUCAGUUCGGAUUGUAGGCUGCAACUCGCCUACAUGAAGCUGGAAUCGCUAGUAAUCGCGGAUCAGCAUGCCGCGGUGAAUACGUUCCCGGGCCUUGUACACACCGCCCGUCACACCACGAGAGUUUGUAACACCCGAAGUCGGUGGGGUAACCUUUUGGAGCCAGCCGCCUAAGGUGGGACAGAUGAUUGGGGUGAAGUCGUAACAAGGUAGCCGUAUCGGAAGGUGCGGCUGGAUCACCUCCCGUCGACGCGGCCG
This 531-nucleotide ribosomal RNA is filed under the name uncultured Bacillus sp. Its description in RNAcentral is "bacterial SSU rRNA". It matches the Rfam family "Bacterial small subunit ribosomal RNA", at positions 1010 to 1533 of the family's 1533-position model. Lineage: Bacteria; Bacillati; Bacillota; Bacilli; Caryophanales; Bacillaceae. The record is from RNAcentral.